AAUUUAAAAAUUAAUAAAUAAAAAUAUAAUAAAAGUAAUUUUAAUAUUAAAAUAAAUAAUGGGGGUUAAAGUAUUUUAAUAGAAAGAAUUAUAAGAUUUAUAGUAAAUUAGUAUAGUAUUAGAAAUUUGAAAUAUUUGAAAAAUAAUUUUAAAAAAAGUAAAUUUAAAUUAUUGUAUCUUGUGUAUCAGAGUUUAUUUAAUAAAAUUUUUAGUUAAAAAUAUCUCGAAUUUAAAAGAGUUAAUUAAUUAAUAAAGUUAAUGUUGAAUAAUUAUUUUAAAUAAUUAAUUUGAAAUGAAAUGUUAAUCGUUUUUAAAUAUAUCUAGUUAUUUUAGAAAAAAAUUUAAUUUUAAAUUUAUUUAUAAAAUAUGUUAAAUAAAUUAAUAUAAUAAAAAAUAAAUUUUAUAAUUUAGGGGAUAAGCUUUAAAUUAAAAAAUUAUAAAAUAAGUUAAAUAAAAUAAAAUUUUUAAAAUUUAUAUUGUUUAAAAAUUAUAAUUUAUUAUAAAAAAUUUUAGUAAAAUUAAAAUUUAAAAAUAAUUUAAUUUUUUAUAAAAAUAUAUAUUUUAAUAAAAAAAUAUUAGAAAAAAUGGUAAAAUUAGUAUAAUAAUGAAAUAAAAUUAAAAAUUGUUAAUAAUUAAUUAAAAGGAAUUCGGCAAAAUUUUAUAUUCACCUGUUUAACAAAAACAUGUCUUUUUGAUAAAUAAUUUAAAGUCUAAUCUGCCCACUGAUUUUAAAUUAAAGGGCUGCAGUAUAUUGACUGUACAAAGGUAGCAUAAUCAUUAGUCUUUUAAUUGAAGACUUGUAUGAAAGAUUUGAUGAAAUAUGAACUGUCUCUUAAUUAUUAUUAGAACUUAAUUUUUUAGUUAAAAAGCUAAAAUAUAUUUAAAAGACGAGAAGACCCUAUAGAGUUUUAUAAUUAUUUUUUUGAUAUAUUUAUAUAAAAUUUUAAUAUUUUAAAAAAAUAAUUAUUAUAUUGGGGUGAUAAAAAAAUUAAAAAAACUUUUUUUAAAAAUUAACAAAGAUAAAUGAUUAAAUGAUCCAUAAAUAAUGAUUAAAAGAAAAAAUUACCUUAGGGAUAACAGCGUAAUAUUUUUUUUAGUACAAAUAAAAAAAAAAGUUUGCGACCUCGAUGUUGGAUUAAGAUAAAAUUUAAAUGCAAAAGUUUAAAAUUUUGAUCUGUUCGAUCGUUAAAAUCUUACAUGAUCUGAGUUCAAACCGGUGUAAGCCAGGUUGGUUUCUAUCUUUAAUGAAAUAAAAUAUUUUA
This 1262-nucleotide ribosomal RNA is filed under the name Wagimo signatus. Its description in RNAcentral is "partial 16S ribosomal RNA". Lineage: Eukaryota; Metazoa; Arthropoda; Insecta; Lepidoptera; Lycaenidae. The record is from RNAcentral.